AAGGCGGACCGGGCGGUCGCUGUCGCAGUCGUGCGGCAGAGGAAAGUCCGGGCACCGAAGGGCACGGCACUCGUGAAGAGCGAGGCCGGGGUCGGGCAACCGAUUCCGGACGGAAAGUGCCACAGAAACGAUACCGCCUCCCGCGCUGUGCGCGGGAAAGCCGGCCGCUUUGCGGCCGGGAGGAAACCGAGGAUGACGCAUCCUCCUAUCCUCCCCGGAGUCACCGACCCGGGCUUCCGGCGGCCGAUGGCCGCCGGGGUAAGGGUGAAAUAGUGCGGCAAGAGCGCACUGGCCCGACCGGUGACGGUCGGGUCGGGCAAACCCUGCCCGGUGCAAGACCAAGCAUGGGAGCCGCAUCGUCUUCGGACGUUGCCGGACCGGCCCGGUCCGAGUGCUCCCGGGUAGGUCGCUUGAGGCCGGCGGGCAACUGCCGGUCCAGAUAAAUGACCGCCCCGCGCUCAGCGCGGACAGAACCCGGCUUACAGGUCCGCCUUCUAA
This 498-nucleotide RNase P RNA is filed under the name Caldifarciminota bacterium. RNAcentral describes it as "RNase P RNA component class A". It matches the Rfam family "Bacterial RNase P class A". Rfam says of the family: Ribonuclease P (RNase P) is a ubiquitous endoribonuclease, found in archaea, bacteria and eukarya as well as chloroplasts and mitochondria. Lineage: Bacteria; Pseudomonadati; Caldifarciminota. The record is from RNAcentral.